Molecule: ribosomal RNA, 919 nt
Filed under: uncultured archaeon
Lineage: Archaea
Description: bacterial SSU rRNA
Rfam family: Archaeal small subunit ribosomal RNA
Source: RNAcentral
UUCGGGGUUUGGGAUCCUGCCGGAGGUCACUGCUAUUGGGAUUCGACUAAGCCAUGCGAGUUGAGAGGGUUCGGCCCUCGGCUAACGGCUCAGUAACACGUGGAUAAUCUGCCCUUAGGUGGAGGAUACCCUCGGGAAACUGAGAAUAAUACUCCAUAGGUCUAGGAUGCUGGAAUGCACUUAGACUAAAAACUCCGGUGCCUAAGGAUGAGUCUGCGGACUAUCAGGUAGUAGUCAGGGUAAAGACCUGACUAGCCUACGACGGAUACGGGUUGUGAGAGCAAUAACCCGGAGAUGAUAUCUGAGACACGAUAUCAGGCCCUACGGGGCGCAGCAGGCGCGAAAACUUCACAAUGCGCGAAAGCGCGAUGAGGGAAUCCCAAGUGCUUGCACGUAAGUGUAAGCUGUCUCUAUGUUUAAAACGCAUAGAGAGUAAGGGCUGGGUAAGACGGGUGCCAGCCGCCGCGGUAAUACCUGCAGCUCGAGUGGUGGCCGCUAUUACUGGGCCUAAAACGUCCGUAGCCGGUUUAAUAAAUGCCUGGGUAAAUUGUAUAGCUUAACUAUACGAAUUCCGGGUAGACUGCUAGACUUGAGACCGGGGGAAGUUAGGGGUACUCCUGGGGUAGAGGUGAAAUUCUGUAAUCCUAGGGGGACCACCGGUGGCGAAGGCGUCUGACUAAAACGGGUCUGACGGUGAGGGACGAAGCCCUGGGGCGCAAACGGGAUUAGAUACCCCGGUAGUCCAGGGUGUAAACGCUGCUUGCUUGAUGUUAGUCGGGCUUCGAGCCCGAUUAGUGUCGGAGAGAAGUUGUUAAGCAAGCUGCCUGGGAAGUACGGCCGCAAGACUGAAACUUAAAGGAAUUGGCGGGGGAGCACAGCAACGGGUGGAGCGUGCGGUUUAAUUGGAUUCAACGCCGGG